This 74-nucleotide transfer RNA is filed under the name Candidatus Sungiibacteriota bacterium. RNAcentral's name for it is "tRNA-His". It matches the Rfam family "tRNA". Rfam says of the family: Transfer RNA (tRNA) molecules are approximately 80 nucleotides in length. Their secondary structure includes four short double-helical elements and three loops (D, anti-codon, and T loops). Further hydrogen bonds mediate the characteristic L-shaped molecular structure. tRNAs have two regions of fundamental functional importance: the anti-codon, which is responsible for specific mRNA codon recognition, and the 3' end, to which the tRNAs corresponding amino acid is attached (by aminoacyl-tRNA synthetases). tRNAs cope with the degeneracy of the genetic code in two manners: having more than one tRNA (with a specific anti-codon) for a particular amino acid; and 'wobble' base-pairing, i.e. permitting non-standard base-pairing at the 3rd anti-codon position. Lineage: Bacteria; Candidatus Sungiibacteriota. The record is from RNAcentral.
GCGGCUAUGGUGUAACGGCAACACAGGAGCUUGUGGAGCUCUUAUCACGGGUUCAACUCCCGUUAGCCGCCCCA